AUGUCGACGUUGUCGCCGGUGAGCGGGGCCGCGUCGCCGGAGGCGGAGGGUGGCGGGGGCAGGAAGUACAAGGGCGUGCGGCGGCGCAAGUGGGGCAAGUGGGUGUCGGAGAUCCGGCUGCCCAACAGCCGGGAGCGCAUCUGGCUGGGCUCCUACGACGCGCCCGAGAAGGCCGCGCGCGCCUUCGACGCCGCCUUCGUCUGCCUCCGCGGGCCCGGCGCCGCCGGCGCGGACCUCAACUUCCCGGACUCGCCGCCCCCGCCGUGCCGCCACAGCGUCGACCCGCAGGAGGUGCAGGCGGCCGCGCUCUCCCACGCCAACCGCGCCGCCGUCUCGGUCAGGGAGGCGGCCGCGGCUCUCAUGGAGGACGACUGCUCGCGGGCGCCGGCCGCGCUGUCGACGGAGCAGUGGCCCGUGACGCAGCCGUCGUGGGCGCAGCAUGACAGCGGCAUGGACAUUUUCGGCGACGAGGUGGCGGCCGCGCCGGACGGCAGCAUGGACUGGCGCUCGGUCAUGGCGCACCAGCCGCCGCUCUUCUCGCCGACGGCCGGCUGGGGCAGCAAUGCGUACGACUUCCUGCAGCUGACGCCGCCGCCGACGCAGGGCGACGAGGACAUGGAGGAGUGUGGCCAUGGCGCCAGCGCUUCCCUGUGGAGCUUUGACUCCCGAGACUCCUACUUCAGAUACUAG
Molecule: ribosomal RNA, 690 nt
Filed under: Triticum aestivum (bread wheat)
Lineage: Eukaryota; Viridiplantae; Streptophyta; Magnoliopsida; Poales; Poaceae
Description: partial small subunit ribosomal RNA
Source: RNAcentral